Molecule: ribosomal RNA, 2900 nt
Filed under: Klebsiella pneumoniae
Lineage: Bacteria; Pseudomonadati; Pseudomonadota; Gammaproteobacteria; Enterobacterales; Enterobacteriaceae
Description: 23S ribosomal RNA
Rfam family: Bacterial large subunit ribosomal RNA
Source: RNAcentral
UUAAGCGACUAAGCGUACACGGUGGAUGCCCUGGCAGUCAGAGGCGAUGAAGGACGUGCUAAUCUGCGAAAAGCGUCGGUAAGGUGAUAUGAACCGUUAUAGCCGGCGAUGUCCGAAUGGGGAAACCCAGUGCAAUUCGUUGCACUAUCGUUAACUGAAUACAUAGGUUAACGAGGCGAACCGGGGGAACUGAAACAUCUAAGUACCCCGAGGAAAAGAAAUCAACCGAGAUUCCCCCAGUAGCGGCGAGCGAACGGGGAGCAGCCCAGAGUCUGAAUCAGCUUGUGUGUUAGUGGAACGGUCUGGAAAGUCCGACGGUACAGGGUGAUAGUCCCGUACACCAAAAUGCACAGGUUGUGAACUCGAAGAGUAGGGCGGGACACGUGGUAUCCUGUCUGAAUAUGGGGGGACCAUCCUCCAAGGCUAAAUACUCCUGACUGACCGAUAGUGAACCAGUACCGUGAGGGAAAGGCGAAAAGAACCCCGGCGAGGGGAGUGAAAAAGAACCUGAAACCGUGUACGUACAAGCAGUGGGAGCACCUUCGGGUGUGACUGCGUACCUUUUGUAUAAUGGGUCAGCGACUUAUAUUCUGUAGCAAGGUUAACCGUAUAGGGGAGCCGCAGGGAAACCGAGUCUUAACUGGGCGUUAAGUUGCAGGGUAUAGACCCGAAACCCGGUGAUCUAGCCAUGGGCAGGUUGAAGGUUGGGUAACACUAACUGGAGGACCGAACCGACUAAUGUUGAAAAAUUAGCGGAUGACUUGUGGCUGGGGGUGAAAGGCCAAUCAAACCGGGAGAUAGCUGGUUCUCCCCGAAAGCUAUUUAGGUAGCGCCUCGUGAACUCAUCUUCGGGGGUAGAGCACUGUUUCGGCUAGGGGGUCAUCCCGACUUACCAACCCGAUGCAAACUACGAAUACCGAAGAAUGUUAUCACGGGAGACACACGGCGGGUGCUAACGUCCGUCGUGAAGAGGGAAACAACCCAGACCGCCAGCUAAGGUCCCAAAGUCAUGGUUAAGUGGGAAACGAUGUGGGAAGGCACAGACAGCCAGGAUGUUGGCUUAGAAGCAGCCAUCAUUUAAAGAAAGCGUAAUAGCUCACUGGUCGAGUCGGCCUGCGCGGAAGAUGUAACGGGGCUAAACCAUGCACCGAAGCUGCGGCAGCGACACUAUGUGUUGUUGGGUAGGGGAGCGUUCUGUAAGCCUGCGAAGGUGACCUGUGAGGGUUGCUGGAGGUAUCAGAAGUGCGAAUGCUGACAUAAGUAACGAUAAAGCGGGUGAAAAGCCCGCUCGCCGGAAGACCAAGGGUUCCUGUCCAACGUUAAUCGGGGCAGGGUGAGUCGACCCCUAAGGCGAGGCCGAAAGGCGUAGUCGAUGGGAAACAGGUUAAUAUUCCUGUACUUGGUGUUACUGCGAAGGGGGGACGGAGAAGGCUAUGUUAGCCGGGCGACGGUUGUCCCGGUUUAAGCAUGUAGGCUGAUUGUCCAGGCAAAUCCGGAUAAUCAAGGCUGAGGUGUGAUGACGAGGCACUACGGUGCUGAAGUAACAAAUGCCCUGCUUCCAGGAAAAGCCUCUAAGCAUCAGGUAACAUUAAAUCGUACCCCAAACCGACACAGGUGGUCAGGUAGAGAAUACCAAGGCGCUUGAGAGAACUCGGGUGAAGGAACUAGGCAAAAUGGUGCCGUAACUUCGGGAGAAGGCACGCUGGUGUGUAGGUGAAGCCCCUGCGGGUGGAGCUGAGACCAGUCGAAGAUACCAGCUGGCUGCAACUGUUUAUUAAAAACACAGCACUGUGCAAACACGAAAGUGGACGUAUACGGUGUGACGCCUGCCCGGUGCCGGAAGGUUAAUUGAUGGGGUUAUCCGUAAGGAGAAGCUCUUGAUCGAAGCCCCGGUAAACGGCGGCCGUAACUAUAACGGUCCUAAGGUAGCGAAAUUCCUUGUCGGGUAAGUUCCGACCUGCACGAAUGGCGUAAUGAUGGCCAGGCUGUCUCCACCCGAGACUCAGUGAAAUUGAACUCGCUGUGAAGAUGCAGUGUACCCGCGGCAAGACGGAAAGACCCCGUGAACCUUUACUAUAGCUUGACACUGAACAUUGAGCCUUGAUGUGUAGGAUAGGUGGGAGGCUUUGAAGCGUGGACGCCAGUCUGCGUGGAGCCAACCUUGAAAUACCACCCUUUAAUGUUUGAUGUUCUAACGUUGGCCCCUGACCGGGGUUGCGGACAGUGUCUGGUGGGUAGUUUGACUGGGGCGGUCUCCUCCCAAAGCGUAACGGAGGAGCACGAAGGUUAGCUAAUCCUGGUCGGACAUCAGGAGGUUAGUGCAAUGGCAUAAGCUAGCUUGACUGCGAGCGUGACGGCGCGAGCAGGUGCGAAAGCAGGUCAUAGUGAUCCGGUGGUUCUGAAUGGAAGGGCCAUCGCUCAACGGAUAAAAGGUACUCCGGGGAUAACAGGCUGAUACCGCCCAAGAGUUCAUAUCGACGGCGGUGUUUGGCACCUCGAUGUCGGCUCAUCACAUCCUGGGGCUGAAGUAGGUCCCAAGGGUAUGGCUGUUCGCCAUUUAAAGUGGUACGCGAGCUGGGUUUAGAACGUCGUGAGACAGUUCGGUCCCUAUCUGCCGUGGGCGCUGGAGAAUUGAGGGGGGCUGCUCCUAGUACGAGAGGACCGGAGUGGACGCAUCACUGGUGUUCGGGUUGUCAUGCCAAUGGCACUGCCCGGUAGCUAAAUGCGGAAGAGAUAAGUGCUGAAAGCAUCUAAGCACGAAACUUGCCCCGAGAUGAGUUCUCCCUGAGACUUUAAGUCUCCUGAAGGAACGUUAAAGACGAUGACGUUGAUAGGCCGGGUGUGUAAGCGCAGCGAUGCGUUGAGCUAACCGGUACUAAUGAACCGUGAGGCUUAACCUU